Molecule: ribosomal RNA, 633 nt
Filed under: Prorocentrum micans
Lineage: Eukaryota; Dinophyceae; Prorocentrales; Prorocentraceae
Description: eukaryotic LSU rRNA
Rfam family: 5.8S ribosomal RNA (bases 251-405)
Source: RNAcentral
AAGGUUUCCGUAGGUGAACCUGCGGAAGGAUCAUUCGCACGCAUCCAAUAGAUUCACUGUGAACUCGAACUCGUGAGGGUCUGGGUUGGGGUGGAGAUAGCAUCAAUGCCCUUAUGCAGGCGCUCGAGGGCAGUAAGCCAGGAUUGGACUGUCUUCCUUUCCUGUCCCUGCUGCCAUGUCUUCAAUUUGCUACAAAGCAUUUAUUGUUCCAUUUGUUCUCGAGUGGUUAUCCACUUGUUUAUUGUAUUACAACUUUCAGCGACGGAUGUCUCGGCUCGAACAACGAUGAAGGGCGCAGCGAAGUGUGAUAAGCAUUGUGAAUUGCAGAAUUCCGUGAACCAAUAGGGACUUGAACGUAUACUGCGCUUUCGGGAUAUCCCUGAAAGCAUGCCUGCUUCAGUGUCUAUUCUUUUUCAUUCCAGCGAUCUGGGUUUCCAGCGUCGCUUGUGUGUYUUUGUGCGUUAGAGCGCUCGCCUCGUGCAGCCUUUGACGCAUUUAAYGCACAGGGACCCCUCGCACAAGCAACUAGAAGAGCCUCUUGGCGUUUCCUUGUUGUCUUGCCUGCGAGGAGGGCCUUGCCAUCCAGUGCCUAGCGCACUCCAACCAAGACAUGAAGUUAGGUCAGCAAACCCG